GCACCCGCGGUAAUUCCAGCUCCAAUAGCGUAUAUUAAAGUUGUUGCAGUUAAAAAGCUCGUAGUUGGAUUUCUGCGAGGGUGCCAAUGUCCGCCGACGCGCGUGCGCAGCGGCGCCCUCGCAUCCUUCUGUUACCACCUCUCGGCAUUCACUUGCCGGUGGUCGGCUCAGAGAAUUUACCUUGAGAAAAUUAGAGUGUUUCAGGCAGGCUAGGCCGGAAUACAUUAGCAUGGAAUAAUGGAAUAGGACUACGGUCUCGUUGUUGGUUUGAGGGACUGCAGUAAUGAUUAAUAGGGAUAGUUGGGGGCAUUAGUAUUUAAUUGUCAGAGGUGAAAUUCUCAGAUUUGUUAAAGACUAACUUAUGCGAAAGCAUUUGCCAAGGAUGUUUUCAUCGAUCAAGAACGAAAGU
RNAcentral lists this ribosomal RNA (409 nucleotides) under uncultured eukaryote. RNAcentral describes it as "SSU rRNA". It matches the Rfam family "Eukaryotic small subunit ribosomal RNA", at positions 570 to 990 of the family's 1831-position model. The record is from RNAcentral.